Molecule: small RNA, 780 nt
Filed under: Arabidopsis thaliana (thale cress)
Lineage: Eukaryota; Viridiplantae; Streptophyta; Magnoliopsida; Brassicales; Brassicaceae
Description: ATSL162860
Source: RNAcentral
AUCAACGCCUUAGGAAGCCAGAAGAAGCUUGGUUAGCUUUUUGGAGUCAAAUAUGACUAGAUGACAUGUGUAUGAUUGAGUAUAAAAACUCAAAUCGCAACCGGAUCUUGAAAGCCCAACUAGUGUUUGUUUGUUAGAAGAUACAAAGCCAAAUACUCAUACGGACUUUGGCUACACUAUCAAAGCUUUGAAAAGCAAGAAGAGGCUUAGUUAGUGUUUUAGAGUCAAAUAUGACUUGAUGUCAUGUGUAUUAUUGAGUAUAAGAACUAGAACCACAACCGGAUCUUAAAAGCCUAAGUAGUGUUUCCUUGUUAGAAGAUACAAAGCCAAUAAAUCAUGCGGACUUUAGCUACACCAUCAAAGCUUUGUGAAGCAAGAAGAAGCUUAGUUAGUGUUUUAGAGUCAAAUAUGACUUGAUGUCAUGUGUAUGAUUGAGUAUAACUAGAACCACAACCGGAUCUUAAAACCCAAAGUAGUGUUUCUUUGUUAGAAGAUACAAAGCUAAAGAUUGUUGUGGACUUUGGUAACACUAUUAAAGCGUUGGGAAUCAAGAAGAAGCUUGGUUAGUGUUUUGGAGUCAAAUAUGACUAGAUUUCAUGUGUAUGAUUGAGUAUAAAAACUAGAACUGUAACCCGAUCUUAAAAUCCUAAGUAGUGUUUCCUUGUUAGAAGAUACAAAGCCAAAGACUCAUACGGACUUCAGCUACACCAACAAUGCUUUGAGAAGAAAGAAGAAGCUUGGUUAGUUUUUUGGAAUCAAAUAUGACUUGAUUUCAUGUUU